Molecule: ribosomal RNA, 465 nt
Filed under: uncultured bacterium
Lineage: Bacteria
Description: partial 16S ribosomal RNA
Rfam family: Bacterial small subunit ribosomal RNA
Source: RNAcentral
GACGAACGCUGGCGGCGUGCUUAACACAUGCAAGUCGAACGGAAAGGCCCUGCUUGCAGGGUACUCGAGUGGCGAACGGGUGAGUAACACGUGGGUGAUCUGCCCUGCACUUCGGGAUAAGCCUGGGAAACUGGGUCUAAUACCGGAUAGGAGCCAUUUUUAGUGUGAUGGUUGGAAAGUUUUGUCGGUGUAGGAUGAGCUCGCGGCCUAUCAGCUUGUUGGGGGGGUAAUGGCCUACCAAGGCGGCGACGGGUAGCCGGCCUGAGAGGGUGGACGGCCACAUUGGGACUGAGAGACGGCCCAGACUCCUACGGGAGGCAGCAGUGGGGAAUAUUGCACAAUGGGCGCAAGCCUGAUGCAGCGACGCCGCGUGGGGGAUGACGGCCUUCGGGUUGUAAACUCCUUUCGCUAGGGACGAAGCUUUUUGUGACGGUACCUAGAUAAGAAGCACCGGCUAACUACGUG